CCUGGCUCAGAUUGAACGCUGGCGGCAGGCCUAACACAUGCAAGUCGAACGGUAACAGGAANCAAGCUUGCUNNUUNGCUGACGAGUGGCGGACGGGUGAGUAAUGUCUGGGAAACUGCCUGAUGGAGGGGGAUAACUACUGGAAACGGUAGCUAAUACCGCAUAACGUCGCAAGACCAAAGAGGGGGACCUUCGGGCCUCUUGCCAUCGGAUGUGCCCAGAUGGGAUUAGCUAGUAGGUGGGGUAACGGCUCACCUAGGCGACGAUCCCUAGCUGGUCUGAGAGGAUGACCAGCCACACUGGAACUGAGACACGGUCCAGACUCCUACGGGAGGCAGCAGUGGGGAAUAUUGCACAAUGGGCGCAAGCCUGAUGCAGCCAUGCCGCGUGUAUGAAGAAGGCCUUCGGGUUGUAAAGUACUUUCAGCGGGGAGGAAGGGAGUAAAGUUAAUACCUUUGCUCAUUGACGUUACCCGCAGAAGAAGCACCGGCUAACUCCGUGCCAGCA
This 507-nucleotide ribosomal RNA is filed under the name Escherichia coli. RNAcentral's name for it is "bacterial SSU rRNA". It matches the Rfam family "Bacterial small subunit ribosomal RNA", at positions 18 to 513 of the family's 1533-position model. Lineage: Bacteria; Pseudomonadati; Pseudomonadota; Gammaproteobacteria; Enterobacterales; Enterobacteriaceae. The record is from RNAcentral.